Podarcis lilfordi (Lilford's wall lizard) is the source of this 75-nucleotide non-coding RNA. Lineage: Eukaryota; Metazoa; Chordata; Lepidosauria; Squamata; Lacertidae. The record is from the annotation of a GenBank genome assembly.
GGAAGCCCUGUGGCUCAGUGGUAGAACAUCUGCCUUGCAUGCAGAAGGUCACAGGUUCAAUCCCCAGCACCUCCA